AGAACGCGUGCGGCAGGCCUACACAGUUCAAGUGAGCGAGAAGCUAACUUCGGUUAGUGGACAGCGGCGCACGGUAACGCGUGGGAAUUUACCUUUCGGCGGGGGACAACAGUUGGAAACGACUGCUAAUCACCGCAUACGCCCUACGGAGGAAAGAUUUAUCACCGAAAGAUAGGCCCGCGUUAGAUUAGGUAGUUGGUAGGGUCAAAGCCUACCAAGCCGACGAUCUAUAGCUGGUUUGAGAGAACGAUCAGCCACACUGGAACUGAGACACGGUCCAGACUCCUACCGGUGGGGCAGCAGUGGGGAAUCUUGCACAAUGGGCGAAAGCCUGAUGCAGCCAUGCCGCGUGAGUGAGAAGGCCUUCGGGUUGUAAAACUCUUUUAGAUGUGAAGGAUGAUGACGGGAAAUCGAAAAAACCGUUACAUAGGCCAACACCAAAGGAA
Molecule: ribosomal RNA, 446 nt
Filed under: uncultured bacterium
Lineage: Bacteria
Description: bacterial SSU rRNA
Rfam family: Bacterial small subunit ribosomal RNA
Source: RNAcentral